Long non-coding RNA from Asterias rubens (European starfish), 1437 nucleotides. RefSeq lists it as uncharacterized. Lineage: Eukaryota; Metazoa; Echinodermata; Asteroidea; Forcipulatida; Asteriidae. The record is from RefSeq and is a predicted model, not a curated record. The transcript is spliced from 9 exons.
UUUACUUUAUUUUCAACCGUGUUUACAGCAGUCAAACUUGCUAACCGCUCGACACACUUUAGCUGGGGACGAGGUAGGUCACCCACGUGGUUUUUACCGUGUGUGGCUGGUGUAAAGCGGAUAACAUCAAUUAACACAGACAGAGCAUCAGAUCUUCAAUCAUGAUGGCUUUCCAUCGCACUCAGCAGAGAUGUGUCAAUCUAUCAAUGUUGAAGCACCGCACAGUCACCAGCAAUCUAUGACAGCUCACAUUCAAAGAUCAAUUAACACAGACAGAGUGUCAGAUCUUCGAACUUCAAUCAUGAUGGCUGGCUGUGUAUCACACUCAGCAGAGGUGUGUCAAUCAAACAACUCACAGAGUGGCCAGCAAUCUAUGACGGCUCACAUCCAAAGAUCAAUUAACGCAGACAGAGUGUCAGAUCUUCAACCAUGAUGGCUGUCUAUCGCACUCAGCAGAGAUGUGUCAAUCUAUCAAUGUUGAAGCAUCGCAGAGUGGCCAGCAAUCUAUGAUAGCUCACAUCUAAAGAUCAAAUAACACAGGCAGAGCGUCAGAUCUUCAAUCAUGAUGGCUGGCUGUCCAUCGCACUCAGCAGAGGAGUGUCAAUCAAACAACUCACCGAGUGGCCAGCAAUCUAUGACAGCUCACAUCCAAAGAUCAAAUGAGCAAAGUCUCUGUUCGUCAAACUGAGCAAAGGAAAUGUCUUCAAGCUGUCGUUGUUGAAGCUCUGGUGACCAUCAAGCAAGCUGCCUUGACAACUCAGUCAACUUCCUGUGUACAGAUCAACUAAUCCAAAAACAUCACCCCACUGAGUGAGAACAUUAAGGAGCGCCUUGCUGGUCACUGCCUAUGGCACCCAGAGCUACCAGCCAAUAAAGUCAUUGUGUGGGAGCCAUCCCAAGGCAGGCAGACCUGUGCCAUCCCGGAAGACCACCAAGACCAUGCUCAAACAUGGGGCAACGAGACAACUUGGCAAGACCAUGCUCAAACAUGGGGCAACGAGACAACUUGGCAAGACCAUGCUCAAACAUGGGGCAACGAGACAACUUUGGUGGGCUGAGUGAGUGAGUAAUCCAGACAGAGAGUGUCGAACCAAUCAUCGCCCCAAGCAGUCAAUCAACCCUAUAGCAGAUCAAAAUCCAGACAGAGAGUGUCGGAUCUCGCAAGGAGUCGGCGCCCAUCACUGGUAGAGAUGCACAACCUCUUUGGAUCAAAAUCAAGACAAUGAGUGUCCAACCGAGCAAUGCCUUGAGCAAUCAAUCAACCUUAUUGAAGAUCAAAAUCCAGACAGAGAAUGUGGGAUCUCGCAAGGAGUCAGCAGCCAUCACUGGUAGAGAUGCACCACCUCUUUGUAUACUUUAAAAUUAUUUGUUUAUUUUAUGGAUAUAGUUAGAAACAAUUGUGGGGUGAAUCGCUCACACUUUUUGUUGUGUGGUCAA